CACUCCGCCUGGGGAGUACGGCCGCAAGGCUGAAACUCAAAAGAAUUGACGGGGGCCCGCACAAGCGGUGGAGCAUGUGGUUUAAUUCGAAGCAACGCGAAGAACCUUACCAGGUCUUGACAUCCUCUGCUACCUCUAGAGAUAGAGGGUUCCCUUCGGGGACAGAGUGACAGGUGGUGCAUGGUUGUCGUCAGCUCGUGUCGUGAGAUGUUGGGUUAAGUCCCGCAACGAGCGCAACCCUUGAUCUUAGUUGCCAGCAUUUAGUUGGGCACUCUACGGUGACUGCCGGUGACAAACCGGAGGAAGGUGGGGAUGACGUCAAAUCAUCAUGCCCCUUAUGACCUGGGCUACACACGUGCUACAAUGGAUGGUACAAAGGGCAGCGAAGCCGCGAGGUGAAGCAAAUCCCAUAAAACC
This 417-nucleotide ribosomal RNA is filed under the name Salinibacillus xinjiangensis. Its description in RNAcentral is "Bacterial small subunit ribosomal RNA". It matches the Rfam family "Bacterial small subunit ribosomal RNA", at positions 865 to 1283 of the family's 1533-position model. Lineage: Bacteria; Bacillati; Bacillota; Bacilli; Caryophanales; Bacillaceae. The record is from Rfam by way of RNAcentral.